UUCCAUUUAGUGACUCAAGUCGACACAAGUCUAGUGAAAUCAUCAUUUGUGCUUUUCAUUUGAAUUGUGUCGCUGUGUGUCAACAACUCAAGUCGAUUUUUGCUAACUCUGCUUUUGUAGAGAGUUAUACUCCGUCCAGCGAGAGAAUGACCUCUGGUCGGACAAAAACUCGUCUGUUUCGCGCAGGUCUUCACCCACAGAAGCCGUAUCUACGUAUACGGUAUUGAGUACCUCGCUAUGUUCUCCCCACUUUGCCCGCCUAUGCGCAGACCGAAGUCAUUCUCUCGCUGAACGGAGUAUAAGUGUGUGACAUUCAGUUCUACCAACGUCGAAAAAUAAAUUUACCUAUUUAUUUGAUCGUAUACGCAUAAAUUGUAUUAUAUUGGUAGUAAUAAAUGAGGUUAUAAUUGGUAGUAAUAACAGAAAUUACUCACAUAAAAUAAUUUAUAUAUACCAUGUAAUAUACUACACAUUUCACAAUGAAGAAAACUGGAAAAUUACUUUUGGCCAAGAAUUUGGUUGACUGCAAUUAUAGUACAGGAAGUUCAGUUAUAAAAAACAAAUCUUUUAUAUAACUAUCAGAUUUUAUAAACAUUAUUUUACAAGAAAGAGAUAUAAAUCAACAACAAGAAAGAUGUACAAAUCAACAACAAGAAAGAGGUAUGAAUCAACAACAAGAAAAAACAAAUUUAAUUUCUCAUCGCGAAGAAGAAUUUUUAUGGAAGGAUAGUAAAUUUAUAUGGAAUAAACAAGUUACUUUCGCGCUUUCAUCUGUGUACGAAGCUCGUGACAUUGAAGCUGAUAAUACUAAAAAAAACAAAAAGUUUUGGCAAUUAAUAGCACAAGAUUUAAAAUGGGCUAUGUUUAUCUAAAGUUCCAUUAACAGGUGAUCAGGUUAGAUAGAAAUUUAGUGCAUUAAAAAAAUCGUAUAACAAAAAAAAAGAUCAUAUUCGCACAAGUGGAAAUGCCCCGAAGAUUUUUGAUGAUUACGAAAAAAAGAUUACAAGAAAUUUUAGGUAAUAAAAGCAAUAAUAAUGAAAGCAAUGAAAAUGUUUUUAAUUCAUCAAUAUCAGUAAAUACUUAGAAUAUAACUAGUAUAGAAUAUGUAAAAGAGAAUCAAGUAAUAUUCAAGAAGAUACAGAACUUACUGCAGAAGAUACUAGAACAGAAAUGAGAAUAAUACGGCAGAAAAGAGGCCAUGGAACAGGAUCAAAACCAUGUCAAACAAAAUUAGAAUUAGAGAAGCAGUGGUUGGAACAUCAUCAAUUUAUUCAGAAAAAAUAUGAAGAUAGAAGA
Formica exsecta is the source of this 1296-nucleotide long non-coding RNA. RefSeq lists it as uncharacterized. The record is from RefSeq and is a predicted model, not a curated record. The transcript is spliced from 4 exons. NCBI's taxonomy places the organism in Eukaryota, Metazoa, Arthropoda, Insecta, Hymenoptera, Formicidae.